UGUUAUCUUAGUGAGCUGUAU
This is a non-coding RNA of Caenorhabditis elegans, 21 nucleotides long. The record is from Ensembl. NCBI's taxonomy places the organism in Eukaryota, Metazoa, Nematoda, Chromadorea, Rhabditida, Rhabditidae.